UACGUAGGGGGGCUAGCGUUGUUCGGAAUUACUGGGCGUAAAGCGCGUGUAGGCGGCUCGGAAAGUCGGAUGUGAAAGCCCUGGGCUUAACCUAGGAAGUGCAUUCGAAACUCCCGAGCUUGAGUUCUGGAGAGGAAGGCGGAAUUCUCGGUGUAGAGGUGAAAUUCGUAGAUAUCGAGAGGAACACCGGUGGCGAAGGCGGCCUUCUGGACAGUGACUGACGCUGAGACGCGAAAGCGUGGGGAGCAAACAGG
Molecule: ribosomal RNA, 254 nt
Filed under: uncultured bacterium
Lineage: Bacteria
Description: partial 16S ribosomal RNA
Rfam family: Bacterial small subunit ribosomal RNA
Source: RNAcentral